UUUAAAACCUUGCCCAGGGGCACCUGGGUGGCUCAGUGGGUUAAGCCUCUGCCUUCGGAUCAGGUCAUGAUUCCAGGGUCCUGGGAUCGAGUCCCACAUCAGGCUCUCUGCUCAGCAGGGAGCCUGCUUCCUUUUCUCUCUCUGCCUGUCUCUCUGCCUACUUGUGAUCUGUUAAAUAAAUAAAAUCUUUUAAAAAAACAAAAACCGAAAAACAUAAAACCUUGUUCUUCAGAUGCAGUUCCCCAACCAGCAUCCUGCCUCGCCUGGGAGACAGGGGAAAAGCAUAGACCUUGGCUCCUCCUCAGAGCAGCCACGGCAGAACCUGCAUGUUCACAAGAUCCUGGGAGAAGGUGACAAGCUCUGGAUGUGUAGACGGUAUCUGUGAGGAAGCCGCAGAUCAGAG
Molecule: long non-coding RNA, 403 nt
Filed under: Mustela putorius furo (domestic ferret)
Lineage: Eukaryota; Metazoa; Chordata; Mammalia; Carnivora; Mustelidae
Description: lncRNA (ENSMPUG00000031042.1)
Source: RNAcentral